UGCUCUCGGGUGACGAGCGGCGGACGGGUGAGUAAUGUCUGGGAAACUGCCUGAUGGAGGGGGAUAACUACUGGAAACGGUAGCUAAUACCGCAUAACGUCGCAAGACCAAAGUGGGGGACCUUCGGGCCUCAUGCCAUCAGAUGUGCCCAGAUGGGAUUAGCUAGUAGGUGGGGUAAUGGCUCACCUAGGCGACGAUCCCUAGCUGGUCUGAGAGGAUGACCAGCCACACUGGAACUGAGACACGGUCCAGACUCCUACGGGAGGCAGCAGUGGGGAAUAUUGCACAAUGGGCGCAAGCCUGAUGCAGCCAUGCCGCGUGUGUGAAGAAGGCCUUCGGGUUGUAAAGCACUUUCAGCGGGGAGGAAGGCGUUAAGGUUAAUAACCUUGGCGAUUGACGUUACCCGCAGAAGAAGCACCGGCUAACUCCGUGCCAGCAGCCGCGGUAAUACGGAGGGUGCAAGCGUUAAUCGGAAUUACUGGGCGUAAAGCGCACGCAGGCGGUCUGUCAAGUCGGAUGUGAAAUCCCCGGGCUCAACCUGGGAACUGCAUUCGAAACUGGCAGGCUAGAGUCUUGUAGAGGGGGGUAGAAUUCCAGGUGUAGCGGUGAAAUGCGUAGAGAUCUGGAGGAAUACCGGUGGCGAAGGCGGCCCCCUGGACAAAGACUGACGCUCAGGUGCGAAAGCGUGGGGAGCAAACAGGAUUAGAUACCCUGGUAGUCCACGCCGUAAACGAUGUCGAUUUGGAGGUUGUGCCCUUGAGGCGUGGCUUCCGGAGCUAACGCGUUAAAUCGACCGCCUGGGGAGUACGGCCGCAAGGUUAAAACUCAAAUGAAUUGACGGGGGCCCGCACAAGCGGUGGAGCAUGUGGUUUAAUUCGAUGCAACGCGAAGAACCUUACCUGGUCUUGACAUCCACAGAACUUUCCAGAGAUGGAUUGGUGCCUUCGGGAACUGUGAGACAGGUGCUGCAUGGCUGUCGUCAGCUCGUGUUGUGAAAUGUUGGGUUAAGUCCCGCAACGAGCGCAACCCUUAUCCUUUGUUGCCAGCGGUUAGGCCGGGAACUCAAAGGAGACUGCCAGUGAUAAACUGGAGGAAGGUGGGGAUGACGUCAAGUCAUCAUGGCCCUUACGACCAGGGCUACACACGUGCUACAAUGGCAUAUACAAAGAGAAGCGACCUCGCGAGAGCAAGCGGACCUCAUAAAGUAUGUCGUAGUCCGGAUUGGAGUCUGCAACUCGACUCCAUGAAGUCGGAAUCGCUAGUAAUCGUAGAUCAGAAUGCUACGGUGAAUACGUUCCCGGGCCUUGUACACACCGCCCGUCACACCAUGGGAGUGGGUUGCAAAAGAAGUAGGUAGCUUAACCUUCGGGAGGGCGCUUACCACUUUGUGAUUCAUGACUGGGGUGAAGUCGUAACAAGGUAACCGUAGGGGAACCUGCGGUUG
Molecule: ribosomal RNA, 1444 nt
Filed under: Klebsiella pneumoniae
Lineage: Bacteria; Pseudomonadati; Pseudomonadota; Gammaproteobacteria; Enterobacterales; Enterobacteriaceae
Description: bacterial SSU rRNA
Rfam family: Bacterial small subunit ribosomal RNA
Source: RNAcentral